UCACAUCUUACGACGGCAGUCUCUCUAGAGUCCUCAGCAUAACCUGUUAGUAACUAAAGAUAAGGGUUGCGCUCGUUAUGGCACUUAAGCCGACACCUCACGGCACGAGCUGACGACAACCAUGCAGCACCUUCACAACUGCCCGAAGGAAUAGAUGUUUCCACCUACGUCAGUUGCAAUUUAAGCCCGGGUAAGGUUCCUCGCGUAUCAUCGAAUUAAACCACAUGUUCCUCCGCUUGUGCGGGCCCCCGUCAAUUCCUUUGAGUUUCACCGUUGCCGGCGUACUCCCCAGGUGGAAUACUUAAUGCUUUCGCUUGGCCGCUUGCUGUAUAUCGCAAACAGCGAGUAUUCAUCGUUUACUGUGUGGACUAC
RNAcentral lists this unclassified non-coding RNA (372 nucleotides) under uncultured Bacteroidaceae bacterium. Its description in RNAcentral is "contains 16S-23S intergenic spacer region". Lineage: Bacteria; Pseudomonadati; Bacteroidota; Bacteroidia; Bacteroidales; Bacteroidaceae. The record is from RNAcentral.